Molecule: ribosomal RNA, 497 nt
Filed under: uncultured bacterium
Lineage: Bacteria
Description: partial 16S ribosomal RNA
Rfam family: Bacterial small subunit ribosomal RNA
Source: RNAcentral
GAUGAACGCUGGCGGCGUGCCUAAUUCAUGCAAGUCGAGCGAACAGACGAGGAGCUUGCUCCUGUUACGUUAGCGACGGACGUGUGAGUCACACGUAGGUAACCUACCUAUACGACUGGGAUAACUUCGGGAAACCGGCGCUCCUACCGGAUAAUAUUUCGAACCGCAUGGUUCUAUAGUGAAAGAUGGCUUUGCUAUCACUUAUAGAUGGAUCUGCGCCUUAUUAGCUAGAUGGGAAGGUCACGGCUUACCACGGCAACGAUACGUAGCCGACAUGGGAGGGUGAUCGGGCACACUAGAACUGAGACACGGUCCACACUACGACGGGAGGCAGCAGUAGGGAAACUGUCGAAAUGGGCGAAAGGCCGACGUAGGCACGCAGCGUGAGUGACGACAGUGUAGGGAUGGGAAGACACAGUUAGUAGGGGAGAACAAAGGUGUAAGUUAGUGUGCACGUUAGGACGGUACAUAAUCAGAAAUGCACGGCUAAACACGGG